GCCCUUGUAGCUCAGGGGAUAGAGCGUCUGCCUCCGGAGCAGAAGGUCGCAAGUUCGAUUCUUGUCAAGGGCACCA
Molecule: transfer RNA, 76 nt
Filed under: Coriobacteriaceae bacterium
Lineage: Bacteria; Bacillati; Actinomycetota; Coriobacteriia; Coriobacteriales; Coriobacteriaceae
Description: tRNA-Arg
Rfam family: tRNA
About the family: Transfer RNA (tRNA) molecules are approximately 80 nucleotides in length. Their secondary structure includes four short double-helical elements and three loops (D, anti-codon, and T loops). Further hydrogen bonds mediate the characteristic L-shaped molecular structure. tRNAs have two regions of fundamental functional importance: the anti-codon, which is responsible for specific mRNA codon recognition, and the 3' end, to which the tRNAs corresponding amino acid is attached (by aminoacyl-tRNA synthetases). tRNAs cope with the degeneracy of the genetic code in two manners: having more than one tRNA (with a specific anti-codon) for a particular amino acid; and 'wobble' base-pairing, i.e. permitting non-standard base-pairing at the 3rd anti-codon position.
Source: RNAcentral